This 271-nucleotide ribosomal RNA is filed under the name Pseudo-nitzschia fraudulenta. RNAcentral's name for it is "partial Bacterial large subunit ribosomal RNA". It matches the Rfam family "Bacterial large subunit ribosomal RNA", at positions 1361 to 1737 of the family's 2925-position model. Lineage: Eukaryota; Bacillariophyta; Bacillariophyceae; Bacillariales; Bacillariaceae. The record is from RNAcentral.
AACGCUAAUCGGCGCAGGGUUAGCCGGCCCCUAAGGCGAGGCCGAAAGGCGUAGUCGAUGGGAAUGCAGUUAAUAUUCUGCAGCUUGGUGGUAGUGACGGAUGCCGUGUGUUGUAUCUCCUUAUUGGAUUGGGGGUGCAGCGAAGGUGUUCCAGGAAAUAGCUCCACCGUAUAAACCGUACCCGAAACCGACACAGGUGGGCAGGUAGAGUAUACCAAGGCGCUUGAGAGAACUAUGUUGAAGGAACUCGGCAAAUUGCACGCGUAACUUC